CGUGACGGGUGAGUAACACGUGGAUAACCUACCUAUAAGACUGGGAUAACUUCGGGAAACCGGAGCUAAUACCGGAUAAUAUAUUGAACCGCAUGGUUCAAUAGUGAAAGACGGUUUUGCUGUCACUUAUAGAUGGAUCCGCGCCGCAUUAGCUAGUUGGUAAGGUAACGGCUUACCAAGGCAACGAUGCGUAGCCGACCUGAGAGGGUGAUCGGCCACACUGGAACUGAGACACGGUCCAGACUCCUACGGGAGGCAGCAGCG
Molecule: ribosomal RNA, 264 nt
Filed under: uncultured Staphylococcus sp.
Lineage: Bacteria; Bacillati; Bacillota; Bacilli; Caryophanales; Staphylococcaceae
Description: partial 16S ribosomal RNA
Rfam family: Bacterial small subunit ribosomal RNA
Source: RNAcentral